Molecule: small nuclear RNA, 169 nt
Organism: Zea mays
Lineage: Eukaryota; Viridiplantae; Streptophyta; Magnoliopsida; Poales; Poaceae
Product: U1 spliceosomal RNA
Exons: 1
Source: RefSeq, a predicted model, not a curated record
AUACUUACCUGGAUGGGCUCUAUGUCUGAUCAUUAAGAGCCAUGGCCUAAGCUAAUGGCCUCCAUUGCACUUGGGAGGAGCAUUAGCCUCGGUCCUAUAAUUUUGAGGGCCCCUAUGCGAGCUCAUUGCAAUGAGUCUUCUAUGUUGUAUAAUUUUUUUAUCAUACAUA